GGAAAAUAAUUGGAAAGUAGAGGCGGAAUGAAUUGAUUUCCCGCCGAACGAAAUGAUAUAAAGAAACGACACCGUUUCACAGGCCGGCGUCCACAUAAUCGUAUUAGUAUGGUGAAGAAUUGGAGGCAGUAAAGCAGUAAUAGAAGAAAAAGAAUAGAAGAAGAAGAAUGAGUGAUCCAUUUACUUCAUACUCUCACACCCACCGCAUUGUUCUCCUCAUCGAUGUUUCAAUCUCCGAUUCCAAUUACAUAACUUCUCUUCUCUCAACUCAAUUCUCUCUCUCCCUUCUCUCUCUUCUUCUCUCUUCUCUUUUCAUCUCUUCUUCUCUUCUCUCUCUCCUCUUCUCUCUCUCUCUAAACUCCCUCUUCCUCCUCCCUUCGAUCUUCCUCAACCUACUCUCUCCCGUCUUUCCCAUUCUCUCUCCCAUCUCCCUCUCUCUCUUCCGUCUCCCCCUAUUGCUUCUCAUAUCGCUGCUUCUUUGCUUUAUAUUUUUCAUCAUUAUUCGUGGGACCCACCUAAUGACUAUACUUUCUCUUCGUUUAACUCGUUUCUUCCUUCCAAUUUGGUUCUACUCUUUUUCCCUCUCUCUCACUCUUUCUCUUCGUUUUUCCAUGUCCCGGAUUUUGAUGAUGUUAGUUUGUUCAGUGAGGCGUUUUUAUCGGUGUUUUAAUUCUGUUCGCAAUGUGUUUGAUUCGAGGGAUAUACAUUGCAGUUUCAUCCGUGUUGGGUCUGGAUCUGGUUCAGGUUCCUAUCAUAAU
Molecule: long non-coding RNA, 758 nt
Filed under: Lupinus mutabilis
Lineage: Eukaryota; Viridiplantae; Streptophyta; Magnoliopsida; Fabales; Fabaceae
Description: partial ncRNA
Source: RNAcentral